Molecule: ribosomal RNA, 499 nt
Filed under: uncultured bacterium
Lineage: Bacteria
Description: partial 16S ribosomal RNA
Rfam family: Bacterial small subunit ribosomal RNA
Source: RNAcentral
GAUGAACGCUGGCGGCGUGCCUAAUACAUGCAAGUCGAGCGAACAGACGAGAGUGCUUGCACUCUCUGACGUUAGCGGCGGACGGGUGAGUAACACGUGGGUAACCUACCUAUAAGACUGGGAUAACUUCGGGAAACCGGAGCUAAUACCGGAUAAUAUUUAGCUUCGCAUGAAGCAAUAGUGAAAGACGAUUCUGCUGUCACUUAUAGAUGGACCCGCGGUGUAUUAGCUAGUUGGUGAGGUAACGGCUCACCAAGGCAACGAUACAUAGCCGACCUGAGAGGGUGAUCGGCCACACUGGGACUGAGACACGGCCCAGACUCCUACGGGAGGCAGCAGUAGGGAAUCUUCCGCAAUGGACGAAAGUCUGACGGAGCAAUGCCGCGUGAGUGAAGAAGGUUUUCGGAUCGUAAAACUCUGUUGUAAGGGAAGAACAAGUACGUUAGUAACUGAACGUACCUUGACGGUACCUUACCAGAAAGCCACGGCUAACUACGUG